GACCCGUCUUGAAGCACGGACCAAGGAGUCCAACAUGUGCGCGAGUCUAAGGGUGAUUUAAACCUGGAGGCGAAAUGAAAGUGAGCCCCUUAAUGGGGCAGGCCGAUCCCCUGUGGCAUAGUCGGGCAGAUUUGGUUAUGGCAACAUGACCGGUUUGGUUGGGCUGUGUUACGGCCGGUUGUGAGAACAGCCGGAGAUGGGGCGCAGGCCGAGGACUUGUCUUAGUGCGGCGCGGGCAACGGGUUGUGACCUCGUGUGGCUUCCUUAUCCCGAUGUCCGCCGGCAAGUACCUGAGAGCGCAGCCGUUGGGACCCGAAAGAUGGUGAACUAUGCCUGGCGAGGACGAAGCCAGAGGAAACUCUGGUGGAGGUCCGAAGCAGUUCUGACGUGCAAAUCGAUUGUCAGAGCUGGGUAUAGGGGCGAAAGACUAAUCNAACCAUCUAGUAGCUGGNUUNCUUCCCAA
Molecule: ribosomal RNA, 463 nt
Filed under: Macrobrachium lanatum
Lineage: Eukaryota; Metazoa; Arthropoda; Malacostraca; Decapoda; Palaemonidae
Description: eukaryotic LSU rRNA
Rfam family: Eukaryotic large subunit ribosomal RNA
Source: RNAcentral